UACGUAGGUGGCAAGCGUUGUCCGGAAUUAUUGGGCGUAAAGCGCGCGCAGGUGGUUUCUUAAGUCUGAUGUGAAAGCCCACGGCUCAACCGUGGAGGGUCAUUGGAAACUGGGGAACUUGAGUGCAGAAGAGGAAAGUGGAAUUCCAAGUGUAGCGGUGAAAUGCGUAGAUAUCGGGAGGAACACCAGUGGCGAAGGCGGCUCUCUGGACCGGUUCUGACGCUCAGGCGCGAAAGCGUGGGGAGCGAUCCGG
RNAcentral lists this ribosomal RNA (253 nucleotides) under uncultured bacterium. Its description in RNAcentral is "partial 16S ribosomal RNA". It matches the Rfam family "Bacterial small subunit ribosomal RNA", at positions 524 to 776 of the family's 1533-position model. The record is from RNAcentral.